AUGGCGGAUCAGGAGGCCGCCGAGCCGGGCCCGCCGUCGUGGCCCCCCUGGACCUCCCUGCUGCUCCGGGCCAUGAGCAAGCGCCGCACCUGGGCGGCGCUCUUCCUCGCCGUCUACGCCGCGCUGCUCUCCUCCUCCUGGAGCCUGCUGGCGUCCGUGCGCGUCUGGUACUACGCCGCGGCCGCCUCGGCGGGGGCGGCCGCCGCGUGGCCCGCCGCGCUCUACGCCUCCGUCAUGUACGGCGCCGUCUUCGGCCUGCUCUCCAUGGGCGCCGCGCUGGCCGUCGCCGCGCCCGCCAUGCUGGUGACGUGGAUCACCGUGCUCGUGCUGCUGGCGUUCGCGGGGAAGCCCCGGCGGUCGCUGGUCGCCGAGGCGCGCCGCGCCACGGCCGACAUCGCGCGGCUCGCGCUCCGCGUGCUGCUGUGCGAGGGCAACGCCGUCGCCGCGGUCUGCGCCGUCGCCAGCUUCGCCGCCCUCCUCUUCGGCCGCCGCGACGACGCCGAGCGGCGGCUGAUCUGA
Molecule: ribosomal RNA, 519 nt
Filed under: Triticum aestivum (bread wheat)
Lineage: Eukaryota; Viridiplantae; Streptophyta; Magnoliopsida; Poales; Poaceae
Description: partial small subunit ribosomal RNA
Source: RNAcentral